Molecule: ribosomal RNA, 805 nt
Filed under: uncultured bacterium
Lineage: Bacteria
Description: bacterial SSU rRNA
Rfam family: Bacterial small subunit ribosomal RNA
Source: RNAcentral
AGAGUUUGAUCAUGGCUCAGGACGAACGCUGGCGGCGUGCCUAAUACAUGCAAGUCGAGCGAAUGGAUGGGAGCUUGCUCCCUGACAUUAGCGGCGGACGGGUGAGUAACACGUGGGCAACCUGCCUAUAAGACUGGGAUAACUUCGGGAAACCGGAGCUAAUACCGGAUACGUUCUUUUCUCGCAUGAGGAGAGAUGGAAAGACGGUUUCGACUGUCACUUAUAGAUGGGCCCGCGGCGCAUUAGCUAGUUGGUGAGGUAACGGCCCACCAAGGCCACGAUGCGUAGCCGACCUGAGAGGGUGAUCGGCCACACUGGGACUGAGACACGGCCCAGACUCCUACGGGAGGCAGCAGUAGGGAAUCUUCCGCAAUGGACGAAAGUCUGACGGAGCAACGCCGCGUGAGCGAAGAAGGCCUUCGGGUCGUAAAGCUCUGUUGUUAGGGAAGAACAAGUACCAGAGUAACUGCUGGUACCUUGACGGUACCUAACCAGAAAGCCACGGCUAACUACGUGCCAGCAGCCGCGGUAAUACGUAGGUGGCAAGCGUUGUCCGGAAUUAUUGGGCGUAAAGCGCGCGCAGGUGGUUUCUUAAGUCUGAUGUGAAAGCCCACGGCUCAACCGUGGAGGGUCAUUGGAAACUGGGGAACUUGAGUGCAGAAGAGGAAAGUGGAAUUCCACGUGUAGCGGUGAAAUGCGUAGAGAUGUGGAGGAACACCAGUGGCGAAGGCGACUUUCUGGUCUGUAACUGACACUGAGGCGCGAAAGCGUGGGGAGCAAACAGGAUUAGAUACCCCCGUAGUCC